Long non-coding RNA from Syngnathus typhle (broad-nosed pipefish), 1216 nucleotides. RefSeq lists it as uncharacterized. The record is from RefSeq and is a predicted model, not a curated record. The transcript has 2 exons. Lineage: Eukaryota; Metazoa; Chordata; Actinopteri; Syngnathiformes; Syngnathidae.
AUGCAUUACCUUUUUAUCAUUAUACCGUAUUUUCCGGACUAUUUUCCAGUUUGCGUACCGAGCCAAACGGUCCUCUGAGGAUGCCAUCUGCUCUGCCCUCCACUCGGCCCUCACCCACCUGGAGAAAAGGGACUAGUAUGUGAGAUUGCUGUUUGUGGACUUCAGUUCUGCCUUCAACACCAUUGUGCCACAACGUCUCAUCAGCAAACUUGACAAGCUGGGCCUCAGUACCUACCUCUGCAACUGGCUACUGGAUUUCCUCUGUCAGAGGCCACAGGUGCGACAACCGCAUAGUGAAGUUUGCUGACGACACGACUCUGGUGGGUCUCAUCACCAAGGGAGACGAGACUCAAUACAGGCUGGAGGUUGACCUUCUGACCACGUGGUGCAGGGACAAAAACCUCCUGCUGAACGUCGACAAGACCAAGGAGAUUAUUGUGGACUUCCGGAAGGGUCACACCCAACACCUGUCGCUGACCAUUGACGGUGCUGUGGUGGAGAGAGUGAGCAGCGCCAAGUUCCUGGGGGUGCACAUCAGUGAGGAUCUCUCCUGGUCCACCAACACCGCAUCACUGACAAAGAAAGCCCAGCGCCGCCUGUACUUCCUGCGGAAACUCAGGCGAGCGAGCGCUCCUCCGGCCGUCAUGACUACAUUUUACCGCGGCACCAUUGAGAGCGUCCUCUCCAGCUUUAUUGCUGUUUGGGGUGGUAGCUGCACUGACUACAACAUGAAGGCCCUGCACCGCAUAGUGAACACGCCUGGUAAGAUUAUUGGUGCUUCACUCCCCUCCUUGAAGGAUAUUUACACCUCCCAUCUCACCCGCAAGGCGACCACAAUUGUGAGUGAUGUGAGUCACCCCGCUUACUCCUUGUUCGAUCUUCUGCCCUCUGGGAAGAGGUACGGGAGCCUGCGCUCCCGCACCACCAGACUCACCAACAGCUUCAUACUCCAGGCUAGGAUUAGCCUGAAACAGAACCCUGAGACUAUCAAAGAGCAGGUGCAUUUAUACGGAGACUUGAUUACACAUAGGUGCAUUCUAUUUAUCAUCAUCAGUCAUUUUGGACAACAUUGGAUCAUUCAAAGAUCCUCACUGAACUUCUGGAGUGAGUUUGCUGCACUGAAAGUAAAGGGGCCGAAUAAUAUUGCACGCCCCACUUUUCAGUUUUUUAUUUGUUAAAAAAGUUUAAAUUAUCCAAUAAAGUUUGUUCCACUUCA